This 3754-nucleotide long non-coding RNA is filed under the name Capra hircus (goat). RNAcentral's name for it is "lncRNA (ENSCHIG00010004202.1)". Lineage: Eukaryota; Metazoa; Chordata; Mammalia; Artiodactyla; Bovidae. The record is from RNAcentral.
AUGCUGACCAAGUGUCCAGCAUCGGGUACCUGCCUGCCUUUGUCACGGCUUGGCACAUCUGCUCAGCUUAGCCAUUGGUGUUUUCACGCACUGAAACAUACAGCCUCCGAGACUCCGGGUGUGUUUAUUGUGAGUCCUUCGUGGCCACCCUCUUCCUGGACGGUCCUGCAGCACAGCCAUGCACUCGCUGGCAUCACUCGACCCCUGACCCCGCCACACCUGGUUUCUUCUGUCUGCACCCUCAGUUCUUCUGUCACCUCUCUGCCCCAGCCUCAGCCCAGUAUCCCAAGUCCCAUCUUUAAAUGCCCAUGGGGCCCGUCCCAGUUUUUUCCAGCCUGGUCAUGGCUCAUGGGAGGCCACUGGAGGAGCGUCAGGCCCGUCCACCCCAGGAGGAAUCCCCCCACGUCUCAGCUGAGCCUGACAGAUCCAGGAAGACCUCUGGGAGCUCCUGCCGGCCCAAUUCAGGUGUAACAACGACCUGAACCCCUCUGCUGACAGCUGUGAAAUCGCCACCCCAGCUGUCACGGCGACACGGGGCACAGAUUCCCUCGGUGCUCAGGGAACAAAAUCCACAUCAAGAGGCUCAGAGUCAAAGGGGGUCACUUGGAGAAAUCCAUCAGAGGAAGUAGGUCAGGUCACAGCCUCCCAGUUUGUCUUGGAUGUCUUUAAGAAGAACCAUCUAUGAGGUCCCUCCCAGGAGCUAGACAUUUCCUUGGGAAGAAGCAUCAUCUCUCUGUCUUAGAGCUGGGAGGGGCCGAUGUGAGUGCUCCAUGGUGCUAUUAUGGACUAACACUAGUAGCAGCUGCCUCUUGAGAAGCUAGUCCCCUCCAAGGCCAUUUCGAAAGAGAGAAUAUGGUCUAACUGGCAGUUGCCUAGCACUCAAGUUUCUGAAGACUCAGGAGUGAGAUGAGAUAGCUCCAGUGAUGGGCUGGGGAAACCAGGAAGGUCCAGAUAGGAAGCUUUGGGGACCUGCUUCCCUUUCUUUUUCCAAAGGCCACACAUCCCUGUCCCAGCCCUGCCAGCCCCUAAACAACGUUAUGUGAGGGGCGUCCCCAUUUCAGAAGCUGGGAAUACAUUGUCUCUCGUUCUCCGUGGCUGCCCAAAUCAGAAGACAGAACAGUCUGGAAGGUUGCUACGGCAACCAGAAUCCCCGGAGAGCCCAGCUCUUCAUAAACCCUUUCCACUCGGGCAUGCUCUGACUUGAAAUGGUGAGGACGAUGAAAACACACACACAACCAUUCUGAGAAGGACACAUCCGUGUUUCAACAUUCACUCUCGAUGUGAGCAUCCCUUUUGCCUCUGGGUGGGCCUUCUCUUCCCCCCUCCCCCUGAACUGUCAGGAGUAAUAUUCCAGAACAGAUGUGGAAAACUGGCACUUCAUUGCCUCAGAGCAGGUGUCUGAAUCGUGAGCAUUUUCUCUUGUAUUUCAGAUUUGGAGAAGCCAAGCACCCAGUCAAGAUGGUGCUGGCCGUAAAAGGAUGCCACUGAAUCGCUCCAAAGAGCACCUUCCAUGCUGAAGGGGAAGAAGCAUAGAAUAAGGCCCAGUUCAAGAGGCGAGGGAGGGAUUUAAAAAGCUAAGGACCCAGAACAGCCUGGACGUGGGCUUUGGACCCAAAGCGGGAACCCUGGGAGGAGGCUUUGCCUAUGGGACAGGGGGAAGCAGGAUAACGAGCUAGAAAUCAUUGCAGAAGUUCACGCAUUUGCAUAGCAUCACCCCCAGGAUCCAAGCUGAGUUCCUGGGCCAUUCCCCAAGAAGUCGGGGUGGAGGGACAGACGUCAAUGUUCCCAUCAAAUGGGUGGGGACACCGAGGCACAAAGAGGAACUGUGGCCCCCAAGUUACCCUGUAAAGUGCAGCAACAUCCAGACACAGUGUCUCUCAAGAAAACCCUCAAGAGGCUGUACCUCGUAAGCUGGCUCUUCGAGAAAAGCUUAAAAAAAAAUUCUCAUCAAGGAGUCUUAAAGCCUAGAUUAUAAAACUAAAAACAUGUUAACAGUCCUUCUGGUUUCUGAACUGCACCCAGGAGAGCUCAGAACAGUACAUCACAGUUGAUCAAGGCAGCAAAUGAAUGGCAGUGCAAAGAGGAGAAAAAGGGGACGUGGGGAAGUGGUACAGGAAGAGCAGUUCAGUUCACGAUGGAAGAAGAUGGCUCAGACCAGGUGGGGGCACCACUGGGCAUCUCCCCGGUGACAGCCAGCGGCUUCGGCUCCAGGGCUGGAGCAGGAGAAUGUUUACCUGACUCAGCAAAAAACAAAACAAAACAAAACAAAAAACCUCUACCAGUGAGGCUGUCGGCAAAAGAACAAUGCUUCUUCCUUACUCUAAACCUCCUGUCUCAUUGCCUGCAAAAUGCAAACAGAAACCCACGCUAGCAUCCAAUGUGUGCUUUUACCUGGCGGCAGAUUUAAGCUGGAGUCUGCUUUAGCAAGCCUUCGGCUGCAAACCUAAGUCAGAUUCCCAGGAAGAAGGGUGGAGGGCUAGAGAGGGCUGGGGGAAGUGAGGGAAAGGAAUUUGCUGUCAGCAAAAUGACUCCUCCACCGCUCCGAGAUGGCACUGUCUAAGGGACACUGCUUCUCUAAGAAGCAGUCAGGCCAGGUACGUGGUUCCGUUCGGCCAUUUCUCGCAGCUCCGUGGUUCCCCUUUGUCAGUUCCUCCACACAGGAAGGCACCUGAACAGACAGAGUAUUUGGCUCUGAGAAGGAGGAGCCUUCCUGGAAGCCAGAGAGUCAGGGGAAUCAGAGUCGAGAGAGCCAAGUGGAGAACAGAAACUAACAUCUAUCGUGCCAGGUCAUGCUAGAAGAAUCCACUGGCCCUUUUGGUCCAGGACUGACCUCUCACGUCCUCCAAAUGGCCAAGUGUCAUCGUAGUUUCUCUAAUUGCAUCCAAGAUUAGAGACAGAUAACAUAUGUUCAGGCUGUGCAACUGAAGGCUCUCCUAAGGCUUCUCUGCAGAAUGACCAGCCGACCUUACAGGGCACUGGAGGAAAACAACAGGAUGAGUACUGUUUCUGUCCACCGGCUUCGGCUAGUUAGCAUGUGGCCAGAAGCUACGAUGGGAGGGUGCAUGCCCCAAAGCCAAGGAUGCUAAGGAGAAAGAAGACCCAGGUAUGCCUGGUUUCCAGCCUGUCAACGUUACUCUUCCUAGAGGCAUCACCAGUCCCAAACGUGAAAAAUCAAGAGUCUUGAGGGAAGGUCAGAUGGAAAUCUCAUCCACGUGACAUAAGAUGGGCACGAAUGGGUGGCACCAUUAGAAUUUCAAAAAUGUCACUUAGAUGGAGAAACCUGGGGUGCUGCAGGGGUCGAGUAACGAGGCUGACAGUCCAGGUGUACAGGCCUGGUGCCAACCACUGUGGGGUGAGGGAGUCAGGAGGUCACCUGGAGCUGGGGUGAGAGUAGUGGAGGAUGAGAAAGGUCCCUAAGGAAGGGUGUUUGGUGUGUCUUCCUUCCAUGCAGGCACUGCCCGCAUCCAUCAGACCUCAGUGAGCAUCCUUUUCUCUGCAUACCCUCGAUGUGGUGUGGGAAGGUAGCUGGGUCUCCGCUCCCGGGUGGCCUCUGAGAAUUCAGGCUUGCCAAGUCCACUAUCAGCUGCCUUCAGGUCCGGGGCAGGCUGCCCGCAAGUGACGUGGGUAUACUGGCCUUGCUCCUCCUGCUCUGUCUCCCGGUGGUAGAAGUAGUUGAAGUUGGAGACGAUGACUGGCACGGGCAAGGCGAUGGUGAGGACCCCGGCGAUGGCACACAGGGAGCCCACGAUCUUGC